This 277-nucleotide ribosomal RNA is filed under the name uncultured Syntrophus sp. RNAcentral's name for it is "partial 16S ribosomal RNA". It matches the Rfam family "Bacterial small subunit ribosomal RNA", at positions 1105 to 1382 of the family's 1533-position model. Lineage: Bacteria; Pseudomonadati; Thermodesulfobacteriota; Syntrophia; Syntrophales; Syntrophaceae. The record is from RNAcentral.
UUGUCUUUAAUUGCCAUCAUUCAGUUGGCACUUUAAAGAGACUGCCGGUGUUAAACCGGAGGAAGGUGGGGAUGACGUCAAGUCCUCAUGGCCUUUAUGCCCAGGGCUACACACGUGCUACAAUGGGUGGUACAAAGAGAUGCAAUCUCGCAAGAGCAAGCAAACCUCAAAAAGCCAUCCUCAGUUCGGAUUGUAGGCUGCAACUCGCCUACAUGAAGUCGGAAUCGCUAGUAAUCGCGGAUCAGCACGCCCGCGGUCGAAUACGUUCCCGGGCCUU